This 412-nucleotide ribosomal RNA is filed under the name Camaenidae sp. NE5. Its description in RNAcentral is "partial 16S ribosomal RNA". The stretch from base 1 to 193 matches the Rfam family "Archaeal large subunit ribosomal RNA", at positions 1903 to 2146 of the family's 2987-position model. The record is from RNAcentral. Lineage: Eukaryota; Metazoa; Mollusca; Gastropoda; Stylommatophora; Camaenidae.
CAAAAACAUAGCUAUAUGRAUAAAUAUAUAGUGUUUUCUGCUCAAUGAAUCUUUUAAAUAGCCGCAGUACCCUGACUGUGCUAAGGUAGCGCAAUCAAUUGACUUUUAAAUGAAGUCCAGUAUGAAAGAAAUUAUGGGAGGCUACUUUUUCAUUAAUAAUAAAGGGAUUUACUUAUAAAGUGCAAAUUCUUUAAUAUAAAUAAUAGACGAGRAGACCCUAGAAAUUUUAUAGAAAUUACUUUUUGUUGGGGCCACAAAGUAGUAUAAUUAAUCUACUAUAAUGACAUGCACGUUAUAUCUUGAAAGAUUAAAUUACUUUAGGGAUAACAGCAUAAUUUGUGAAAGUUUGUGACCUCGAUGUUGGAUUAGGGRAUUUACGUUUAGAAGAUAAAUAAUUUGCUCUGUUCGAGCA